Molecule: ribosomal RNA, 435 nt
Filed under: uncultured bacterium
Lineage: Bacteria
Description: bacterial SSU rRNA
Rfam family: Bacterial small subunit ribosomal RNA
Source: RNAcentral
AACGAACGCUGGCGGCAUGCCUAACACAUGCAAGUCGAACGAGGCCCUUCGGGGUUUAGUGGCGCACGGGUGCGUAACGCGUGGGAAUCUGCCCUUUGGUUCGGAAUAACAGCUGGAAACGGCUGCUAAUACCGGAUGAUGACGAAAGUCCAAAGAUUUAUCGCCAGAGGAUGAGCCCGCGUUGGAUUAGGUAGUUGGUGGGGUAAAGGCCUACCAAGCCGACGAUCCAUAGCUGGUCUGAGAGGAUGAUCAGCCACACUGGGACUGAGACACGGCCCAGACUCCUACGUUAUGCAGCAGUGGGGAAUAUUGGACAAUGGGCGCAAGCCUGAUCCAGCAAUGCCGCGUGAGUGAUGAAGGCCCUAGGGUUGUAAAGCUCUUUUACCCGGGAAGAUAAUGACUGUACCGGGAGAAUAAGCCCCGGCUAACUCCGUG